GACCCCAGGUCAGACGGGAUUUACCCGCUGAGUUAAGCAUAUCAAUAAGCGGAGGA
Molecule: ribosomal RNA, 56 nt
Filed under: Ilex x wandoensis
Lineage: Eukaryota; Viridiplantae; Streptophyta; Magnoliopsida; Aquifoliales; Aquifoliaceae
Description: partial 28S ribosomal RNA
Source: RNAcentral